CAGCGACUCGGGGAGG
Molecule: small RNA, 16 nt
Filed under: Bombyx mori (domestic silkworm)
Lineage: Eukaryota; Metazoa; Arthropoda; Insecta; Lepidoptera; Bombycidae
Description: ovarian small RNA-13237
Source: RNAcentral